RNAcentral lists this ribosomal RNA (31 nucleotides) under Steinernema sp. PT-2012. Its description in RNAcentral is "partial 28S ribosomal RNA". Lineage: Eukaryota; Metazoa; Nematoda; Chromadorea; Rhabditida; Steinernematidae. The record is from RNAcentral.
CUCAACUCAAGCAAGGCUACCCGCUGACUAG